This is a long non-coding RNA of Sander lucioperca (pikeperch), 133 nucleotides long. RefSeq lists it as uncharacterized. The transcript has 3 exons. The record is from RefSeq and is a predicted model, not a curated record. Lineage: Eukaryota; Metazoa; Chordata; Actinopteri; Perciformes; Percidae.
CCAGAGGUGUGAAGGGAACAGCCAAUAGGAACGCCCUCUCUCUCUGAAAUGACCUGUGAUUGGCCUAAGUCUCCAGUCACGGACUAGAUUUUCUAAAGCUUGAAUGCAGAGCUGAGCAGAGGUGCAGAAGUCU